RNAcentral lists this ribosomal RNA (497 nucleotides) under uncultured eukaryote. RNAcentral's name for it is "eukaryotic LSU rRNA". It matches the Rfam family "Eukaryotic large subunit ribosomal RNA", at positions 2349 to 2760 of the family's 3401-position model. The record is from RNAcentral.
CUACCAUCUAGCGAAACCACAGCUAAGGGAACGGGCUUAGCAUAAUCAGCGGGGGAAAGAAGACCCUGUUGAGCUUGACUCUAGUCAGACUUUGAGAAAUGACAUGAAGAAUAUAGCAUAGGUGGGAGAUUACUUAAAAUGAUCGACUUUGAAAUACCACUGUCUUUAUAGUUGUUUUUCUUAUUUAAUUGGGUAGAAACAGGGCCAAAAAGCCCUUUUUUCUUGAGUUAAUUGGAAUGAUACGCUUGGGGGGGUAUUAUUGUUUGGUCUCUGAAAGGGGAUCAAGUGGUAGUAUCUUUUAUCCCCAGGCCUCUGCAUCCGAGAUCUAGGUUAAAGACAUUGUCUGGUGGGGAGUUUGGCUGGGGCGGCACAUCUGUUAAAAGCUAACACAGGUGUCCUAAGAGGAGCUCAAUGAGAACAGAAAUCUCAUGUAGAACAUAAGGGUAAAAGACUCUUUUGAUUUUGUAUUUUCAGUACUAAUACAAACCCUGAAAGGU